This 460-nucleotide ribosomal RNA is filed under the name uncultured bacterium. RNAcentral describes it as "partial 16S ribosomal RNA". It matches the Rfam family "Bacterial small subunit ribosomal RNA", at positions 338 to 795 of the family's 1533-position model. The record is from RNAcentral.
CCUACGGGAGGCAGCAGUGAGGAAUAUUGGUCAAUGGACGAGAGUCUGAACCAGCCAAGUAGCGUGAAGGAUGACUGCACUAUGGGUUGUAAACUUCUUUUAUAUGGGAAUAAAAUGUUCCACGUGUGGGAUUUUGUAUGUACCAUAUGAAUAAGGAUCGGCUAACUCCGUGCAAGCAGCGGCGGUAAUACGGAGGAUCCGAGCGUUAUUCGGAUUUAGUGGGUUGAAAGGGAGCUUAGGUGGAUUUUAAAGUCAGUUGUGAAAGUUUGCGGCUCAACCGUAAAAUUGCAGUUGAAACUGGCAGUCUUGAGUACAGUAGAGGUGGGCGGAAUUCGUGGUGUAGCGGUGAAAUGCUUAGAUAUCACGAAGAACUCCGAUUGCGAAGGCAGCUCACUGGACUGCAACUGACACUGAGGCUCGAAAGUGUGGGUAUCAAACAGGAUUAGAUACCCUAGUAGUC